GCUUCAGCGUGUAACAGAGUUAUUUAUAGCUGCCAGCCUACAGUUUUAACUAAUGCGGGGCCAAGGUUCGGUGUUAUAAACAGCUUUAUUUAUCAUGAUUGUGUGGCUAUAAAUAGUUUGGUUCGCUGGGUGUAGCAGCAUAGCUCCGUGCUGUUCUGCCAGAGCCAGCCAGAGCCGGGAGGAACGCGACAGCGUGUAGGUGAAUCCUGUCUUUUCCUCUUCUUGGCAGACCCUGUCUGUGAGUCCUUGGCCAGGCUAUUUCAUCUACUUCCUCAAUGUCCCUUUCGGAACGAGGAGUUGUGCUCUACCGUGUUCCCAGGAGGUGGUAGAAGUUACUCACGUAAUUAAUUAAUGUCUGCCCCAAGAUCGCAGUUGAAAGUUGAAAGGGAACAGGGUGCCAGCACGGCCUCCUUUGUGCCCAUUCACGGACAAUGAGCUAAUUACAGCCUCUUUCUCAUGCUGGAGGGUGGAGCGAGAUAUCCUGUUAUUCUCCAGAGCAGGCAAAGCUCUAAAGGGUCUGCGCGCCGCGUUGCUGCCAGCCCGUCUGCGGGCCGUGUUGCACCCCCACCUCCCUCAGCCUCAGGUGGAUGGCCCCUCAGCAAAUGCCUUUCCUGGAGAAAUGAAAAUGCUGCAGCCCCCGCCGCCCGACUCCCGUUCGGUUCAAACCUCUGCUCUAUCUCUGUUGCCCAGCUGCGCCUGCGGUGCCCUCCCUACCUGGCAGAGGGAGACACCUUUGGUAGUCAGACGUCCAUUUCAAACCGAAGGCACGCUCCGUUUGGAAAACGGAGCAUUUUCAUUGUGCUUUGGUUUCUGGGGGUUGGGGGGUGGAUUAAAACUGGGAUAAAUGCAAAAGAUCCUGGAGGACAAUGAGAAAGGAAAGCUCUGCAAGGAAGAGGCAGAAAGGGGGUGGAGGUGGGAGAUGGGAGGGGGCUGGCAGGACCAGUGAAAGAAUCAACCACGCUUUCAUCUUGAGUCUGAUCCAUUUCUGAACCCUGAUGGGAAAGGUCAUGAAUUUUAAAAUGCGUCUCUCCAGCCGACAGCUCCAGUCAUAAAACCCACACUCUCUGAAGCUGUAGACUGCUGCGGGAGACCCGAGACCGAGACCGAGGGAGCCGGAGGCGGGCGGGGGAGCGCCGGCCGCUGUCAGCAGGCGGAGAUGAGAGGGAGUUUGAACAGCUGUCCGGAGGAGGCUUCUGAGGUCGCCCUCCUCCCGGCCAGCUCCGGGAGGUUUCCACGAGGCCUUGGCACCAACAGAUAACUUUCUGAGCUGGCCUCCUGGCAGUGCUGGCUGCUUGUGUCACUAACAAGUCCCCUGGCCACCUGCAGUCCUGAUUCACCUGCUGAGAGGGGGUGUGGUGGGGAUGGGUUGGUGCCUUUCUCACCAGGACCCUGAGAGCUGGUCCAGAAGGGGAAGCCCGGGGUCUCCCGAUGUCUCUGAGGAGGGCAAGAGUUUGCAGGUUCCAAGUUGGGUUGUUGUUGGGGUUGCUGCCCGGCUGUGGGAGGGAUCUGAAGGCGGCUGCUGUCUUUUCUGGGCUGGAAUAGGCAAUGGUGACCAUUUUCCUUGCGGCCCUGGGGAAUGUCAGUGUAUCUUACUGGAGGAAAAGUGCAUGCUCUUGAGGAACAGUGUGUGUGUUUUUGAAAAUGUAUUGUUAUAUCUUAAACAGAAGAUAUGCUCAUUUUUUUGGUAGGACGCUGAGGAAGUGCAAUCACGGCUUAUCUGUUUGUACAUUGAGAGUUGGGAGUAUUAAGUUUUCAGAAAGCAGGAUAGUGGCAACGGAAACAAGAUUGCAGACAUUUCCCAAGGCGCCAAGCCGCCCGGAGGAGUCCCAUCAUAGCCUCCAAGAACUCUGCUCCUUAGUUGGAUGCUGAGCCCGGGGACCAGAGGCUGGUGGCCUUGGGAAGAGUGAUGCCAUGCACAGCCAAUCCUGUAGAGACACUGGGGGCUUUGGGAGCCCCAGGAGAACCCCAGCCUCUCUCUGUGUCCUGUGUGGUCGUGUCCUUACACUGCUGAAGAAUCGGGAAACCCUUCCCAGGGGUCAGAAGCGUGUGCAGGGGAAUCGCUGUGCUUCAGCAUUGGGACUUCCGGGUCUCUCAGUUUUGUGGAAGCUUUUUUAGAGGGUGUGCCAGACAAAACAGCCUCCCUCUUAUUUAAGAAAAAAAUGUUUUUAAUGUAAUAAAAUAUGCAUAAUAUAAAAUUUACCAUUUUAACCGUAUUUAAGUGUAUAGUUAUGCGGUAUGAAGUGCACUCACGUUGUUGUGAAACCGUCACCACCAUCCGUCUCUAGAACUUUUUCAUCUUCCCAAACAGAACCCCGUACCCAGUAAACACUACCUCUUCCUUCCCCCUUCCUCCCAGCCCCUGGCAACCACUGUUCUACUUUCUGUCUCCGUG
Molecule: long non-coding RNA, 2392 nt
Organism: Equus caballus (horse)
Lineage: Eukaryota; Metazoa; Chordata; Mammalia; Perissodactyla; Equidae
Source: Ensembl